RNAcentral lists this ribosomal RNA (468 nucleotides) under uncultured bacterium. Its description in RNAcentral is "partial 16S ribosomal RNA". It matches the Rfam family "Bacterial small subunit ribosomal RNA", at positions 28 to 507 of the family's 1533-position model. The record is from RNAcentral.
GACGAACGCUGGCGGCGUGCUUAACACAUGCAAGUCGAACGGAAAGGCGCUGCCUUUGUGGCGUGCUCGAGUGGCGAACGGGUGAGUAACACGUGAGUAACCUGCCCUUGACUUUGGGAUAACUUCAGGAAACGGUGGCUAAUACUGGAUACGAGCACCCGCUGCAUGGUGGGUGUUGGAAAGUUUCGGCGGUUGGGGAUGGACUCGCGGCUUAUCAGCUUGUUGGUGGGGUAGUGGCUUACCAAGGCUUUGACGGGUAGCCGGCCUGAGAGGGUGACCGGCCACACUGGGACUGAGACACGGCCCAGACUCCUACGGGAGGCAGCAGUGGGGAAUAUUGCACAAUGGGCGGAAGCCUGAUGCAGCGACGCCGCGUGAGGGAUGACGGCCUUCGGGUUGUAAACCGCUUUCGGCUGUGACGAAGCGAGAGUGACGGUAACUGCAGAAGAAGCACCGGCUAACUACGUG